UAAGCAUAUCAAUAAGCGGAGGAAAAGAGAMCAACAGGGAUUGCCUCAGUAACGGCGAGUGAAGCGGCAAAAGCUCAGAUUUGAAAUCUGGUAUCAUUUUGGUGCCCGAGUUGUAAUCUGUAGAGGAGUAUUCGAGUGUAGCUCUGGCUUAAGUUCCUUGGAACAGGGCGUCAUAGAGGGUGAGAACCCCGUUAACGGCCUCAGUCUUAUGCUCAUGUGAAUCUUCUUCAACGAGUCGAAUUGUUUGGGAAUGCAGUUCUAAAUGGGUGGUAAAUUCCAUCUAAAGCUAAAUACUGGCAAGAGACCGAUAGCGCACAAGUAGAGUGAUCGAAAGAUGAAAAGAACUCUGAACAGAGAGUUAAACAGUACGUGAAAUUGUUGAAAGGGAAGCACUUGCUACCAGACACACUUGCAGUUGAUCAACCCCCAUUUUUUGGUGGUGCACUCAGCUGUAGGUGGGCCAGCAUCAGUUAUUAGCGGUGGGAUAAAGACCUUGGGAAUGUGGCUUCCUUCGGGGAGUGUUAUAGCCCUUGGUGUAAUACCAUCUGUUGUGACUGAGGACCGCGCUUUUUUGUGAGGAUGCUGGCAUAAUGGUCGUAAGUGACCC
RNAcentral lists this ribosomal RNA (607 nucleotides) under Elaiopezia boudieri. RNAcentral's name for it is "partial large subunit ribosomal RNA". The record is from RNAcentral. Lineage: Eukaryota; Fungi; Ascomycota; Pezizomycetes; Pezizales; Pezizaceae.